AUUUUCGAAAAUUAAUUUAACCAAACUUUCCGUAAAAAAGUGAAUGUAUAAUGUUAAAAACAAAAGGCAGAGCAAAACAGAGGUACCCACCACCCAGCAAGGUAAAAAUCAAUGCCAAAGCCAAAAUCCCCAACAAUCAGUAGCAGCGUGUGCUUUCCACUCUCAACUCUCAACUCUCAACUCUCAAAAAGUCUCAAUUCUCAACUCUCAUGGCUACAAGCAGCAGCUGCAGUUCCCCUUAUACCAACGGAUCAUCUCCAAUAACGACAAUAGCUCAAGACCAUCUCUUCUCCAUCUUACUCCUCUUACCUUUGGACUCCAUUUUUUGCUUUGCUCUAACUUGUAAGAAGUUCAGGUCCCUCACUUACUCAGACUCUUUAUGGGAAUCACUCUGCCGAAGAGAUUGGGGAAACUCCACCAUUGAUGCACUCAGAUCCUUUGCUGUUGACGAUAAACAGCAACAAUUUCCUUGGAAGAAGCUCUACCAGCAAAUCUACCAAUUGGACUCUGUUUACUGUCGCAGACUGUUGACGCAUCCACUAGGAGGAGAAGAGCUGAUUCUUCCUCGACCCAGAGCUUCUCAUUCUCUCAAUUUUGUUUCUGGUAGUCUAGUUCUCUUCGGCGGCGGCUGCGAGGGAGGAAGGCAUCUGGACGAUACAUGGGUAGCAUAUGUUGGCAAUGACUUCAAGAGAAUAUUGAAAUGGAAUAAGAUUGGAUCAGGGGUACCAAGUGGCCGCUUUGGGCAUUCAUGUGUCGUGAUUGGCGAUUCUCUAGUGCUUUUUGGAGGAAUAAAUGAUCAUGGGGCCCGCCAAAAUGAUACAUGGAUUGGCCAAGUAGCGGUACAUGAUGCAUUUGGUAUCACAUUAUCCUGGAGACUACUUGACGUUGGUUCCGUUAUGCCUCCACCAAGAGGCGCUCAUGCUGCAUGUAGCAUGGAUAAAAGGAGGAUGCUGAUUCAUGGAGGAAUUGGUUUGUCUGGCUUGCGAUUGGGAGAUACAUGGGUAUUGGAACUGUCUGAGAAUCUUCAUCUUGGAGUUUGGCAAGAAAUUGCGACUCAUCCAUCUCCUCCUUCUCGCUCUGGUCAUACAUUAACUCCUGUUGGAGGAAACCAAACAAUUUUGUUUGGUGGGAGGGGUUUAGGCUAUGAAGUGCUUAAUGAUGUAUGGCUUUUUGAUACAUCUGAUAGUCACUGCAGAUGGGUACAGUUACUAUUUGACUUGCAAAAUAUACCCCAAGGAUUGACCCUGCCAAGAGUUGGUCACUCUGCUAAUCUCAUCAUAGGUGGACGAUUGUUAAUUUAUGGAGGAGAAGAUUCCUACAGACACAGGAAAAAUGACUUUUGGGUGUUGGAUAUCAGCUCAGUGACGUCCAUUAUGCAGUCUGGGUCUCCUCCAAGCCCGGAGAGAUCAAUGACUAAGUUGUGGAGAAGGCUCAAGUCCAAAGGUGAUAACCCUUGUGGCAGAUCAUUUCACCGAGCUUGUGUGGAUCCUUCAGGUCGCAAUUUAUACAUCUUCGGUGGCAUGGUAGAUGGUUUACUUAAUCCUGCUGAAUCCUCUGGGUUGAGGUUUGACGGGGAGUUGUUUCUUGUGGAGCUUUUGCUUCAGUGCUAGUGGGAUUUGGAAGGGGAUUAUUGGAAAAACAAGUAUGUGGUGAUCCCAAAACGCUGCUGCUUUACAUGGCAAUGAAAGUAGUGUAAAUAUCAGUCCUACCAGUGAGAAGCAGGUUAGCAGCCAGCGGGGUGUUUUGUACAGUAAAAGAUAUUGUAAUUUGGUGUAAGCAUUGGAUCUGAAGAAUUGUUAAGUAUUGGCAGUGCUGGAGAUGGACAAGAAGAAGAAGAAGAGCAGCAGAUUCAAGAACAACAACUUCAUAUUACGAGUAAGACUCCUAUUAUAGAGACUGUCAAGAAAAUGUUUUCUUUUCCUCAAACUUCAGCCAAUUACUGGAGCAGAUUCGAAUCACUAAUCAAACAAGGCAAGGCCUACUUCUCUCCUCCAACUCUAGAUUUCAGAGAUAGCCAGGAAGCACAGGCCAGGGCUGAAGGGGGAGCAGCACCAGGUGAAAAGGUGAAAGAAGCAGUACUGAAAAGCCUUGACAAGAGUAAAGCCGCCUUAGAAGAAUCGGCCAAAUCAGCAGCAAAAUUAGCUGGGGAAGCAGUGAGCAAGACUACAAAUAAGAUGAAAAGAACAUUUUCUUUUGGAGAUAGAGACCCUGGACACCAAGAGGAUGAGCUCUAAUGGAAAAAGAACUUUGUAAAAUAAAUGUGAAUAGUUAGCUUAGUUUCAUAAUGUAUGUACCAGUAUUUCCACUUGAUUAGUGUAGUUUUUUCCAAUUGGGUUGUUCAUUGUUGUCUCAUGUAUUUAUAUUAUUAUAUAAAUAGUUAUAA
Non-coding RNA from Solanum lycopersicum (tomato), 2383 nucleotides. The record is from RefSeq and is a predicted model, not a curated record. NCBI's taxonomy places the organism in Eukaryota, Viridiplantae, Streptophyta, Magnoliopsida, Solanales, Solanaceae.